GGGCUAUUAGCUCAGUGGUAGAGCGCGCCCCUGAUAAUUGCUGGGCGAGGUCUCUGGUUCAAGUCCAGGAUGGCCCA
Molecule: transfer RNA, 77 nt
Filed under: Ambrosia trifida (giant ragweed)
Lineage: Eukaryota; Viridiplantae; Streptophyta; Magnoliopsida; Asterales; Asteraceae
Description: tRNA-Ile
Rfam family: tRNA
About the family: Transfer RNA (tRNA) molecules are approximately 80 nucleotides in length. Their secondary structure includes four short double-helical elements and three loops (D, anti-codon, and T loops).
Source: RNAcentral